RNAcentral lists this ribosomal RNA (253 nucleotides) under uncultured bacterium. RNAcentral describes it as "partial 16S ribosomal RNA". It matches the Rfam family "Bacterial small subunit ribosomal RNA", at positions 524 to 776 of the family's 1533-position model. The record is from RNAcentral.
UACGUAGGGACCAAGCGGUGUUCGGAUUUACUGGGCGUAAAGGGCGCGUAGGCGGCUUAACAAGUCACUUGUGAAAUCUCUGAGCUUAACUCAGAACGGCCAAGUGAUACUGCAGUGCUAGAGUGUGGAAGGGGCAAUCGGAAUUCUUGGUGUAGCGGUGAAAUGCGUAGAUAUCAAGAGGAACACCUGAGGUGAAGACGGGUUGCUGGGCCAACACUGACGCUGAGGCGCGAAAGCCAGGGGAGCAAACGGG